This 403-nucleotide ribosomal RNA is filed under the name uncultured Wolinella sp. RNAcentral describes it as "bacterial SSU rRNA". It matches the Rfam family "Bacterial small subunit ribosomal RNA", at positions 379 to 774 of the family's 1533-position model. Lineage: Bacteria; Pseudomonadati; Campylobacterota; Epsilonproteobacteria; Campylobacterales; Helicobacteraceae. The record is from RNAcentral.
AAGCCUGAUCCAGCCAUACCGCGUGGGUGAAGAAGGCCUUCGGGUUGUAAAGCCCUUUUGUUGGGAAAGAAAUCCAGCUGGCUAAUACCCGGUUGGGAUGACGGUACCCAAAGAAUAAGCACCGGCUAACUCCGUGCCAGCAGCCGCGGUAAUACGGAGGGUGCAAGCGUUACUCGGAAUCACUGGGCGUAAAGAGCACGUAGGCGGCCUUGCAAGUCAGAUGUGAAAUCCAACGGCUUAACCGUUGAACUGCAUUUGAAACUGCAAGGCUAGAGUAUGGGAGAGGUAGGUGGAAUUCUCGGUGUAGGGGUAAAAUCCGUAGAGAUCGAGAGGAAUACUCAUUGCGAAGGCGACCUGCUGGAACAUUACUGACGCUGAGGUGCGAAAGCGUGGGGAGCAAACA